CGAGGCGCCUGGCCCGUGUGGGGGCGGGGAGAAGGCCGCGACCGUACGGUCGCCGCGCCCAAGCAGGAAGCUGGCAAGUGGAAGCCCGAGUCCCGCGCCCACUUUCGGACCGCGCGGCGCGCCAGGGGCGGGGGACCCGCGGGCUUCUUCCCGCCUUCGCUCCCUGCGGAGCGCGGGCUGGUCCCGCGCUCCGGAGGAUCUGGCCAAGUCGCCUGAGGACAAGUUGGUCGCAGACUCUAACCCUGAGAGGCGGGGCAGCCAGGUGCAGCCUGCGGGGCAGUGCCGAGACUGCCAGCGCGUCGCAGGUGGUGGCACCGGGCGGAGGGACAGGGCUCACUCUCUCCCUAGGCCGCGGUUCAUGGUGCAAGAUGGCUGUAUUUUGUAAGCCUCUGAAACAAUGUGCAACACAGCUGUAGCUGUAUAAGCCAGAGUGGGCCUUUCCACUCCUUCCCCUUUGGAGGAUCGCUGGAGACAUCUCGUGACAUAUAGUCUAAUGUCAGCGACAAGAGGCUGAAACGGCAGGAAACUAAAAUAUUUGUUGCUGGAUUUAUCCAAGAAGGCUGUUACAUAUCAAUUGAAUCAGUCAUAUCUUCAAGAAAUGUUUGUUUCCUGCCAGUAAGAACAUAAACUCUAGAAACUGUUUUGCCCGUUUCUUCUACUGAAGCAUCACCACACCGCAUACAUACUAACACAUUGGUUUGGAGCCCUUUUUCUGUUAGCUGUACGCAUUAGGAAAUCUUACCCACUCCCGUGGAUGCUGUCAUACACAAAGGAUAUCCAAAUGUGAAAAACUGAGCCCCUCAGAGUCUGACACGUUCCACCAGCAGGUGAAGUGAUUCAUGGCCGCUCCGCCAGGGCAAGCCGUCGCCAUUUAUGUUCGCCAAUCUCAGUGCUCGCUAAGUGACUGAUGGCUUCUGCUCUUGCCAUUCCUUCCAGCUCAGACACUCUUGGAUGGUGACUGUGCUCACAGAGUAGACUAGAUACCCUCCAGAACUCUAUACGUGAAGACAUGUGGAUCAUCCUGGCCCAGCUUAAAUGAACUGGAUAAGUGUAGGUCUGCCUUGAGGAAUGAGUGAUGGAAAAAAAAAUUUUUUUUUAAAGCAGAAGCUCUGUACUCCAAGCUAGCUUCUUAAUUUACAGCCUCAAGUUCUGGGAUUAUAGGUGUGCCCCACCUAUAGUGAAUCCACAUGACUCCUAGUGAAUCCAGGCACACAGAGGGUAUAAUGAAGCCCUUCUUUCCUACCUUCUCCUUAAGAUGCUGAGGCUGAAAUCCAAGACUUCACACACACUAAACAGGAUCUCUACCACUGGGCUCAAUGAUAGGCUAAGGUAAGAAGAGAAAUAUGUAAAUCUAUUACUUUGUUUUUUUAGCCUACAAGUUAAAAAGAAGCAGGUAAACGCUAAAGGAAAAGUGUCAUUAUAAGAGGGCUGUGUCUAAGUAGCGGUGGCACACAACUUUAAUCCCAGUCCUGGGAGGCAGAGGCAGGAAGAUCUCUGUGAGUGCAGAGCCAGCCUGUUCUAAAUAGUAAGUUCCAAGACAGGGAUAUGCAGAGAGACCUUGUCUCAAAAGAAAGUAUUUCCUGAAUUGAGUGUGGUGGCACCUGCCUAUAAUCCCAGCACUCGGGGUAGCAGCAUCCCUAGUAUGUGACAACCUGUCACAAACAAGUAUUCCCUUUUUAAAGUUUUUAGUGUAGAAAGUAAUGGCAGUGGAGGGAAGGGGUGGCCCACACCUUUAAUCCCAAGACUUGGGAGGCAGAGGCAGGCAGACUUCUGAAUUCCAGUCCAGCCUGGUCUACAGAGUGAGUUCCAGGACAGCCAGGGCUGUACAGAGAAACCCUGUCUCCAAGAAGUAAAAUGUGUGUGUAUGUGGUGUGAUUACACUUUGUUCUACUGGACCUCCCUUCCCUGUUUUCCUCCCCAUGCCUCUGGUCUCAGCACCUCCAUUCCUUUCUCCAGUGACACUCCCCCCUCUUCUGCUCAUGUCAUAGAUGUCCGAUUGCCUCUUAAAAGUAUUGCCCUCAAUCUGGGCAUGGUGACAUACACCUAUAGUCUCAGCACUAGGGAGGCAGAGGCUGGACAGUGUUUUAAGUCAGCCUGGGCUACAUAGCUAAAGAUGGAGAGAUAGCCCAGUAGUUACAGGUACUGGCUACUCUUUCAGAGGAGCCUGUUUCAGUUCUCAUCCACAACGGUUGUGUCCCCUAGUCCCCAGGGAUCCAAUGCCCUCUUCUGGUGUCUAAGGCACCAGGUGUACACAUGCAGUCAAAACACAUAAAAGAAAUACAAAAGUUAAAAAUAGACCAAAAAAAAUCCUUCUUUUUUCCUCCACAGGGUUUCUCUGUGUAGCCUUGGCUGUCCUGGAACUCACUCUGUAGACCAGACUGACCUCAAACUAAGAGAUCUACCUGCUUCUGCCUCCUAAGCAUUGAUAUUAAAAGUGUGUGCCACCAAUGCUCAACUUUUCUUUCUGAUCCAAAUCAGACUAAUUGUCCAGUUCAAGAAAUGCAGGGGCAAGCCGGGCAGUGGUGACAUACGCCUUUAAUCCCAGCACUUGGAAGGCAGAGACAGGUGGAUUUCUGAGUUCUAGCCCAGCCUGGUCUACUGAGAGAGUUCCAGGACAGAGCCAGGGCUACACAGAGAAACCCUGUCUGGAAAACAAAACAAAAAACAACCAAAAAACAACAACAACAACAAAAAA
Long non-coding RNA from Apodemus sylvaticus (European woodmouse), 2695 nucleotides. RefSeq lists it as uncharacterized. The transcript is spliced from 4 exons. The record is from RefSeq and is a predicted model, not a curated record. NCBI's taxonomy places the organism in Eukaryota, Metazoa, Chordata, Mammalia, Rodentia, Muridae.